GAUGAACGCUGGCGGCGUGCCUAAUACAUGCAAGUCGAGCGAAUGGAUUAAGAGCUUGCUCUUAUGAAGUUAGCGGCGGACGGGUGAGUAACACGUGGGUAACCUGCCCAUAAGACUGGGAUAACUCCGGGAAACCGGGGCUAAUACCGGAUAACAUUUUGAACCGCAUGGUUCGAAAUUGAAAGGCGGCUUCGGCUGUCACUUAUGGAUGGACCCGCGUCGCAUUAGCUAGUUGGUGAGGUAACGGCUCACCAAGGCAACGAUGAGUAGCCGACCUGAGAGGGUGAUCGGCUACACUGGGACUGAGACACGGCCCAGACUCCUACGGGAGGCAUCAGUAGGGAAUCUUCCGCAAUGGACGAAAGUCUGACGGAGCAACGCCGCGUGAGUGAUGAAGGCUUUCGGGUCGUAAAACUCUGUUGUUAGGGAAGAACAAGUGCUAGUUGAAUAAGCUGACACCUUGACGGUACCUAACCAGAAAGCCACGGCUAACUACGUGCCAGCCGCCGCCGUAA
RNAcentral lists this ribosomal RNA (515 nucleotides) under uncultured bacterium. RNAcentral's name for it is "partial 16S ribosomal RNA". It matches the Rfam family "Bacterial small subunit ribosomal RNA", at positions 28 to 523 of the family's 1533-position model. The record is from RNAcentral.